GAUAUUCCUUACUCACCAUAGCUAUAUUAUUGUUUGAUAGGUGCGCUUGCCUUUUUCGUAAUUAUAGUUAGUUUAGUGACCAUCACUUAUCCAUAGUGGAAUUGAGAGACAACUUCACAUAGUCUCUAGACUGCUCCUUCUAGUCAUCUAUGCAACCUCGACCACAUCGAGUGACUCCUUUACAUCAUCCAAGGACUGCUUGAGUUUAUCCACACGUUCCUCUACUACCGACAACAUAUCCUUCAAAAGGAUUGAUUUUCUGGCCAACUUUUGAUCAAAAUCUUCUUUCAACAUCCUAUCAAUGCCUACGCAACCAAAGCUUGGAUACCACUUGUCACGGGGCUAGAACUUUUGUCUCGCGUUCCGUGAAGCCUUAGACGCUCCUUCUAUGCAAACACGCUUAAGUUAGCAAAAUCACCACAAUUGUAGAUUCAAUUAGAAUUCCUCCAAGGCACCAAUUUAUAUAGCAGAAACAAUUAUGCCAAAAGCAAGCUAAAGAAAACAAAAAGCCACAAAAAAAUAUGCAUGAGAGGUGUUUGAGUAAAUGCUCUCAACUAUAUUACUUUCUCUCAAAGAAUAUAAGAAACAAUGAAAGAAUGAAGUGAGUUACAAGUGAGGAGGAAACUCUCUAUUUAUAGUUGAGCUCCUCCAAAAUCGACGAUCUAGAUCAAGUUACAUCGACGAACGAGAUUAGCCUAUCCUUUAAAUCUAGGGAUUUAAAAGAUUACAUAAUCAAUUUACAUAAUUAAAUCCAAUCUAAUCUUGUAAGAUAUGCUUCCCCUCAAUCUUUUAAGAUUAGUUUCCCUAUUUACCAAUGGAGCUUAUCUUUCCAAAUCAGCAUAAUUGGGCCACCCAGACUUUAAUCUGACAGGCUUCUACAAUAAUUUAUUGAAUCGAGCUUGUUCUCAUGGGCCAAAUGAUCCUCAUUUAAACGAUAGACCUGUAUGGGAUACAUUUGGUGCGACGAUCACGAGCUUUAAACUACGGCCCGUGACACACAUAAUUAUGCAUUACCAAUAAAAUUCGCAUGUUAUAAAAGUUUGCAUUAUAUUAUUUAUCUUUUCAUAUCCAUUCACAAUUAUUACAUAACCAUAUACGAAUAUAUAUACAUAUAUAUACAUACUUAUUUAAUGACAUUUGUCACAUUAAAUUUUAGCAUACAUUAGUCUAUAAACAUAUAUAUUAUAUAACACCAAACCCCUAAAUAUAUAUACAUACUUACCUUUUAUUUCUUCAGCCAAAUUUUAAUGUUUGUUCAUCCACACACGCAACAGUUAAUACUCCAACCACUUAGGUCAAUUUAGGCAACAAUAACAAGACCAACUUUGCAUAUAUAUUGUGUAUACAUACAUACUUAUUUACACACAUAUAUAUAUAUCCUAUAUACAUACUUAUUUAGUUCAAUAGCUCCCAAUGUUCACACAUUCAACCUUUAAUACACAAUUCACUCACACACAUUUGGAACCUUCAACUUUGCACAACAUGCAUAUCCAAAAAUUCAAGAAAGAAUUCAACGAUUUGCACAAGGGAAAGCCAAAGUUUACAUACCACAAAGGGCCACCUUUAUGCUAAAACACAACAUACAAAUGCACUUACCUGUAGCUCACUUUUACUCGUCGAACUAGACAACUUUUUGCUUGUCUUUGUCGCAAUUUGUUGAGGUUCCACCAACGCUUUCAACUUCGAACAAAAAUAUACAUAUUACUAAGCAUUCAAAAACAAUCUAACUUAUCUCUUUGUGUUCAUACAACGACACUCCACUUACACAUAUUAAUCCGGCUUAUUUCGUACAAUCUAUUUCAUUUAAUUUAUUCUUUUUAGCUUAAUUAAAUCAUUAAUUUCUACCUCCUAAACCCCUAAUUGAAGUUUAAUUACAGAUCCAAAUCUCUAACUUUGCUCAAUUUCUUUAAUUAAUAAUUUUUUCAAAAAAAAAUGUUCUUCCUCAUUCUCAAAAGAAAACCAUUUAAUUCAUGCAAUUACUUAAAGAUUUUGAUAAAUUGAAUUUGUAAACCUCUUAAUGUCAUCAAAAUAUACUACAAAUCAUUUUAAAAACAUCUCUUAGCAUUUUAUUAUGAGAUUCAUCAUUUUUAUACAAAAGAUAGCUUUAAAACUAUUGAUCUCUAAUUUUCUUGCUUAGAUCUAUAAAAAUUCAAAUUUAAAAAAUAUAAUAAAAAUUUAAUACAUAAGAAAAUAAUAGAUUUAUCUUUAACUUAAAAACCUCCUGGAAUUUGUACGAAUUGAGCAAAAACGAGCUAAGUUUAGGUGAGAAAUUAGAGAAGAAAUAGUGGUUUUCUUGAAAAUUUGAAAGGAUAGGGGGUGUAUGGAUGCCAAGAAAUCUAAAGAAAUGCAAAAAAUUUGAGAGAAAAAUUGGAAUACUAGAUCUAACUAAAUUUUAAAACGAAAGAAAGUUGGGAGGAAACAAAACUAAAAAAACUGGACGCUGGUGGCUUUUUAUAGCCAACAAAAUUUUCUUUUAAAAAUGGACUAUUUACCCUUUAUGUCCUUUCCUAUUUUACCCUUGUUCUAAUAACUCUCCCUUUUAAUUACUAGCCUUAAUUUAUACAUUUAAUCUCUACUUUAACCACUAUUCCAAUAUUUCCUUCAUGCUUAUAAAUAGAUUGAAUGCAUGAAGAAACAAAGAGUAAAUCAAAGUUGAAAGAAUAUAAGGUAUGAAGGAAACCAAUUGUACCUGAGUUUUAUGAGGAUAAUUGGAAUUUUGGGAUGGGCACGAGCUUGCUCGAUCUAGAAUGAGAGACAAUUGUGGUAUGUUGCUU
RNAcentral lists this long non-coding RNA (2774 nucleotides) under Gossypium barbadense (sea-island cotton). RNAcentral describes it as "long non-coding RNA (GBAR_LNC018561)". The record is from RNAcentral. Lineage: Eukaryota; Viridiplantae; Streptophyta; Magnoliopsida; Malvales; Malvaceae.